AUGCCAGACUCCUACGGGAGGCAGCAGUGGGGAGUAUUGCACAAUGGGGGAAACCCUGAUGCAGCGACGCCGCGUGAGCGAUGAAGUAUUUCGGUAUGUAAAGCUCUAUCAGCAGGGAAGAAAAUGACGGUACCUGACUAAGAAGCCCUGGCUAACUACGUGCCAGCAGCCGCGGUAAUACGUAGGGGGCAAGCGUUAUCCGGAUUUACUGGGUGUAAAGGGGGCGUAGACGGUCCUGCAAGCCAGAUGUGAAAGCCCGGGGCUCAACCCCGGGACUGCAUUUGGAACUGUAAGGCUAGAGUGUCGGAGAGGCAGGCGGAAUUCCGUGUGUAGCGGUGAAAUGCGUAGAUAUACGGAGGAACGCCAGUGGCGAAGGCGGCCUGCUGGACAAUAACUGACGCUGAGGCGCGAAAGCGUGGGGAGCACACAGGAUUAGAUACCCGUGUAA
This 448-nucleotide ribosomal RNA is filed under the name uncultured bacterium. RNAcentral describes it as "bacterial SSU rRNA". It matches the Rfam family "Bacterial small subunit ribosomal RNA", at positions 328 to 793 of the family's 1533-position model. The record is from RNAcentral.